CAAUUACAGAAAGCAGAUGGCAGAGCAGUUCCUGAGUCAGGCCCUGGGCAUCAUCUGCCUGCUGACCGGAGAGGAAUAUGUCAUCGUGAAAAAGAGGUCCUCCCAGAGCAGCGUUCACCGGCAGAGCAGAGAGGUGCCUAUAAAGUGUGAUGAUGUUGCUGUGUAUUUCUCUAUGGAGGAGUGGGAGUAUAUA
Molecule: long non-coding RNA, 193 nt
Organism: Bombina bombina (fire-bellied toad)
Lineage: Eukaryota; Metazoa; Chordata; Amphibia; Anura; Bombinatoridae
Exons: 3
Source: RefSeq, a predicted model, not a curated record